This 324-nucleotide ribosomal RNA is filed under the name Triticum aestivum (bread wheat). RNAcentral's name for it is "partial small subunit ribosomal RNA". Lineage: Eukaryota; Viridiplantae; Streptophyta; Magnoliopsida; Poales; Poaceae. The record is from RNAcentral.
AUGCAAAUCCCAAAGAAAACCCGCACCCACCACACCCAACAAUGUGUUUUAGCACCCACUGCGUCGUCGAAGCCGGCCAAGUCGGGUGGAGGCAAGCAGAAGAAGAAGUGGAGCAAGGGCAAGCAAAAGGAGAAGGUGAACAACACGGUGAUCUUCGACCAGGCCACCUACGACAAGCUGCUCACCGAGGUGCCCAAGUACAAGCAGAUCACGCCCUCCGUCCUCUCCGAGCGACUCAGGAUCAACGGGUCGCUGGCUCGCAGGGCCAUCAAGGACCUGAUGGAGAGGGGACUCAUCAGGAUGGUGUCAAUCCAGUCCAGCUAG